Lynx canadensis (Canada lynx) is the source of this 1333-nucleotide long non-coding RNA. RefSeq lists it as uncharacterized. The record is from RefSeq and is a predicted model, not a curated record. Lineage: Eukaryota; Metazoa; Chordata; Mammalia; Carnivora; Felidae. The transcript is spliced from 2 exons.
AUUAAAAAAAAAAUUGAAGUUAUUAUCUCCACUACCCCCCCCAAAUAUUUCCUAGACUUUUGCCUCUCUUUAGAUUUUAAAGUCUCUUUUGUCAUACAUUUCUAAUUUUAUUGCUUUGUCAUUAAAGAAUAUAGUCCAAAUGGUAAGGCUCCUUUGGAAUCUGUAGAUUUAUGAGCUUACCAUAUUGUUUUAAAUGUUGCAUCUCUCAAAAAGAAUGUGUAUUUAUUUGUUCCAGGUAUGAGGGUUAUAGACAUCUAAUAGCUCAGUCUUAUCAAUUAUGCUGCUUGACCAUGGAGAAGGGUGAUAAUAUUUCAAACCACAAUUGUCGGCCUACCUAUUUCUCCCUGAAGUUUUGUCAGUUGCGGCUUGCCCUAAGCCAAGAUGCCCCCCUGCACUAUCACAGACACAUGUUAUAUUGAUUUCUCGGUGUGUUUAUUUAAUGUUAAUGCCAAGCUCUGUUCUCACUGGUUCCAUGUGGAUAGUUUGUUGCUCAGAUACAUAGUCCUCUUUCAGAUUACAAUAAAAACGUUGGUAGAGGUUAGAAAUGGAUCCGGUCUCAUACAUUUGUUAGAAGCUUAGAAAUGGAUUCGGUAAUGAGGGACAACACCUGCUUCAGAGCAUUUGAACAGCUUUCUGACAUCUGUGACCUGUCACAGCUCUAGAGACUGCGUGCAAUGAAACUCGACCACUGGGUGGCGCACUAAGCAUAUACUUCAGUGCUCCCUUCUACUCGUCCUCCUCCGGCAAGAAAAUAUCCCGGUGAUAAAUCAGAGAUAAUCCAGAGGAUACAACAAAUGGACUGGUUCAUUGGUUCAUGUGCUUGCUCAUUUAUUCAUUCAAUCGGAAAUAUUUCUUCAUGUUUUUUCCCUUUUUGUAAAACAAAACAAGCAAAAACGUAUCCAAACGUUGAAGAAAUUAAAAAGUACUUCAUCUAUUGUUUCCUUCUGUAAUGUCAUAUUUAUGGUUUUUUUACGUUUUAUUUUAAAUUUCACAAAAAGGAUUUUAUAUCUCUACUACUGAGCAAUGUGAUGCAUUGCUUUAGUUGUUGAAACAGAAAAAUACUGAGUCGUUAUGUUUAUGGUAUCACCCCCACCACCCUCACACUGUUGUUCAUUUGGUACACUUCUAAUUUGUUGCAUGCAGCCGCUUUGAACCAUCAUUAUAAAGAUUUUAUUGCCAUGUUGAAAAUGCUUAUAAUAUGGCAGGCAACAAAAAGAAGGCAUAAAAAUAGAAGAUUUCCUGUCAUUAGAGCCAUGUAGAGAUAUGUGCACAUAUGGUUGGAGGCUGGCAGUGGAUGAUGGAGAAAUAAACGUGGUUUUCUUAGGGGACUGGA